GGCUUACAAUAGGUUGCAAUCCCGCAAGGGUUAGCUAAUCCUCAAAAGCCGUCUCAGUUCGGAUUGGGGGCUGAAACUCGCCCCCAUGAAGUUGGAAUCGCUAGUAAUGGCCGGUCAGAUAUACGGCCGUGAAUACGUUCUCGGGUCUUGUACACAAAAUAAGUGCGCGCCUGGCAGCUUUUCGAGCAAGGUGGUUGAAAUCCACCUUC
RNAcentral lists this ribosomal RNA (209 nucleotides) under candidate division WWE3 bacterium. Its description in RNAcentral is "partial 16S ribosomal RNA". It matches the Rfam family "Bacterial small subunit ribosomal RNA", at positions 1235 to 1533 of the family's 1533-position model. Lineage: Bacteria; candidate division WWE3. The record is from RNAcentral.